GAUGAACGCUGGCGGUAUGCUUAACACAUGCAAGUCGAACGGUCUCUUAGGAGAUAGUGGCGGACGGGUGAGUAACGCGUGAGAAUCUGGCUUUAGGUCUGGGACAACCACUGGAAACGGUGGCUAAUACCGGAUGUGCCGAAAGGUGAAAGAUUAAUUGCCUAGAGAUGAGCUCGCGUCUGAUUAGCUAGUUGGUAGGGUAAGAGCUUACCAAGGCGACGAUCAGUAGCUGGUCUGAGAGGACGAUCAGCCACACUGGGACUGAGACAC
RNAcentral lists this ribosomal RNA (270 nucleotides) under Rhizonema sp. 'cyanobiont of Dictyonema sp.'. RNAcentral's name for it is "partial 16S ribosomal RNA". It matches the Rfam family "Bacterial small subunit ribosomal RNA", at positions 28 to 327 of the family's 1533-position model. The record is from RNAcentral. Lineage: Bacteria; Bacillati; Cyanobacteriota; Cyanophyceae; Nostocales; Rhizonemataceae.